RNAcentral lists this long non-coding RNA (1793 nucleotides) under Gallus gallus (chicken). Lineage: Eukaryota; Metazoa; Chordata; Aves; Galliformes; Phasianidae. The record is from RNAcentral.
GCUAGCUUCCUUUUCCGUCUGAGCUCAGGCAUAUCACAAAGGCUCUCUAAUGUGGGGGGAUACCAGUAAAAUAGUGAUGAAAACCAUAGGUACGAAUAUCUGCAAGUGGCUCACAUGAAAGUAUUUAUUGCUUUUCAUGCAUGAGCAUUAAACCAUAGUGAAAAGCAAACCUUGAUUGAAAAUGCAUUAAUUAUUUGACACUGGUUUUCCUCAGUCUUUUUUUUCCCCCUUUUUUUUUUUUUUCUUUUUGCUAUGGGAUGCAAGUGAAAGAUUACAGCUGAAAAAAUGAUCAUCAUACUUGAGUUUACUUUGUAGCAAAAAAUAAGAAACAAAUUCCUUGCUUGUUGAGAAUAAAUAAGAAGACAGUUUUCCUGAAGAUAAUUCGACUAGAGCACUUUCCCAACGAUCAGUGACACAUGAGGAAGCCCACAAUUUCACAGGAGUUAGCAGUGAGUGGUGUGCAAAUGCAGAAGGCACAAGGUGGAGGAGAAAAGGAAGAAGGAAGGGGAAAAAAAGGAAGGAAUCAAGAUAUUCUACAAAAUCAAGCUGUAUUUGGACCUUCUUGAAUGUCUCCAUUCGACAUUUGGACACUCAAGGACUUCCAUUUAUUCUACUACAUUAUUUGCACAUCCUCGUCCUUACAAAGCUUUCUAUUAAGUUGGUAGACUUCUAAAUACUGGCAUGGAUAUAGAAAUAUAUGUAUAUAUAUAUAUAUAUAUAUGUAAUUGAAAGGUAAAUUAUAGCCUUUGUUUUCACAUUGCUUGGGCAUAACAUCAUAGACAUUUUUUACAGCAUUAUUUCUUUGAAAGUCAUCAGUUUCUGCCUGUUCUUACUGUAACUUAUUCAAGUCUAACCUUUCCUUGAAAUCUCAUUUUAAAAUAAUGUUUGUAUUAAUGGCCUAUUAACAGGCUGUCAUUUAAAAUAAGGUUAAAUGUUUAAAAAGUAAGACCAAGCUUAAACCAUUGUUCCGAAAAAUCUUUCAUUUAUUGCAUUCCUUGUGGCUAUUUAAAGACAAAAUUGUAUAGUUAGAGGAUAAAUUACAAAUACAGUAGCCUGUUGUAUUAUUAUAUGAAAUAAUGAAAACUGUGCUGAAAUUUGUAAUAUUAAUUAAGCCUUUUGACUAUUAAUUAAGACUUUUGACUUUUGAUGCAAAAGAUGCUUUUAUUGAUGUUUCUUCAAAGUUCUGUAAUUAAUUAAAUGUAUGUGACAUUUAAAUGAUAUAUUACCAGUACAUCUUCAUUUUGUUUUGGGACUCAAAAACUAGAUAUAGACUAUUUAGUACACUGAGGAAAGAGUUCAAUAUGCAGACGAUUGAGUCACAUGAUUCCCAUUAAUUUUAAUGGGAGUUACAUGAAUAAAUCUGUGUGCUGAAAAUUAUGAGGAGUUAAUGUCAAUAGAAUUUACUGUUGCCAAUUUUGGUCUGUGAAGCUUUGUUCCUGGCUACCUGCACCUCCGUAAAGUUCCUGAAAGGAGCAGAGGAGGGAGUACUAUGAACUAAAUAAAAGGAAAGUAUUCAUAGUAUAAAAAGUCUAUGAUACCAGGUAGGAAUAUAGCUGUAUAAAUACCGCUGCUGGAUUUCUGUGAAUUGCAAGCACAAAUGGUGUCAAACUGAAUUUAUUCAGCAUCCCUAAAGAAAUGUGAGGGAAUCCCUUUCCACUGUCAGAAGAAAUUAAAUAGAAGUUAUCAUUUUUUAGUUCUGUUCCAUUCUGUUUCAUAAGUAAGCAGUGAACACGGAAAGACUUCUAGAAAAAGAAAAAAAAAAGGAAAAAUAUAAAGAAAGGAGGAAAAGACGA